CCUACGGGAGGCAGCAGUGGGGAAUAUUGCGCAAUGGGCGAAAGCCUGACGCAGCGACGCCGCGUGAGGGAUGAAGGUCUUCGGAUCGUAAACCUCUGUCAGCAGGGAAGAACGGUCACUGUGCUAAUCAGCAGUGAAUUGACGGUACCUGCAAAGGAAGCACCGGCUAACUCCGUGCCAGCAGCCGCGGUAAUACGGAGGGUGCGAGCGUGAAUCGGAAUUACUGGGCGUAAAGCGCUCGUAGGCGGUAUGUCAAGUCAAGGGUGAAAUCCCCGCGCUCAACGUGGGAACUGCAUUUGAAACUGGCAAACUGGAGUGUAGGAGAGGAGAGAGGAAUUCGAGGUGUAGGGGUGAAAUGCGUAGAUAUCUGGAGGAACAUCAGUGGCGAAGGCGACUAUCUGGCACAUAACUGACGCUGAGGAGCGAAAGCGUGGGUAGCAAACAGGAUGAGAUACCCCGGUAGUC
This 465-nucleotide ribosomal RNA is filed under the name uncultured bacterium. Its description in RNAcentral is "partial 16S ribosomal RNA". It matches the Rfam family "Bacterial small subunit ribosomal RNA", at positions 338 to 795 of the family's 1533-position model. The record is from RNAcentral.